RNAcentral lists this long non-coding RNA (477 nucleotides) under Malus domestica (apple). Its description in RNAcentral is "long non-coding RNA (MDOM_LNC000359)". Lineage: Eukaryota; Viridiplantae; Streptophyta; Magnoliopsida; Rosales; Rosaceae. The record is from RNAcentral.
UGUGUUUCAAUUCGUGGAGUUUGAAAUUGGUAUGAGCAUAUGGUGCCACUGGUUCUCGCAUCUAAGUAGUAGCAUUCCAUUCAUGAGAUCAUAUCUAAACAUGUUUAUUAACUCCAGAAAUUGCUUUCUUUGUUAUAACAUAUGUGAGUACUAGUCUUCCAUGUUUACAUCAUUCUGCUCACAUAUAACUAGUGUAAGGUGUGUAGUCAGAAAAAAUGUGUGAAAAUAGAGAGUAUCUUGUAAGGAAUUGAGCAAAUUCUCUAAGGCAUGUUACUACAUUCAAAAUAUCGUUUUAAUUGGUUAAUUGCGAACUAGUAAGUGGUGACUGUAAUUAAGUAUGUGCUCAAGUGUGAAGAUGACUAAAAGUUGUGGGAAUGAUGAUUUUUAACAUGUCAUGUGCAUUGGAAAUCCCUGAGGCAAAUGUUGGAAGGUUAAGUUGUGUUCUGUUUGUUUUGAUUCGUUUGUUUCUUUUGUUUU